CAAACUGGGAUUAGAUACCCCACUAUGCCUGGCCGUAAAUUCAAAUGCUUCUUUUCCCCACCCAAGCAUUCGCCAGGGAACUACGAGCACAAACGCUUAAAACCCUAAGGACUUGGCGGUGUCCCAAACCCCCCUAGAGGAGCCUGUUCU
Molecule: ribosomal RNA, 150 nt
Filed under: Picus viridis (Eurasian green woodpecker)
Lineage: Eukaryota; Metazoa; Chordata; Aves; Piciformes; Picidae
Description: partial 12S ribosomal RNA
Source: RNAcentral